GACGAACGCUGGCGGCGUGCUUAACACAUGCAAGUCGUACGGUAAGGCCCUUUCGGGGGUACACGAGUGGCGAACGGGUGCGUAACACGUGAGUAACCUGCCCACAACUUUGGGAUAACGCUAGGAAACUGGUGCUAAUACUGGAUAUGUGCUCCUGCUGCAUGGUGGGGGUUGGAAAGCUCCGGCGGUUGUGGAUGGACUCGCGGCCUAUCAGCUUGUUGGUGGGGUAGUGGCCUACCAAGGCGGCGACGGGUAGCCGGCCUGAGAGGGUGACCGGCCACAUUGGGACUGAGAGACGGCCCAGACUCCUACGGGAGGCAGCAGUGGGGAAGAUUGCACAAUGGGCGCAAGCCUGAUGCAGCAACGCCGCGUGCGGGAUGACGGCCUUCGGGUUGUAAACCGCUUUCAGCAGGGACGAAGCUUUUUGUGACGGUACCUGCAGAAGAAGCACCGGCUAACUACGUG
RNAcentral lists this ribosomal RNA (465 nucleotides) under uncultured bacterium. RNAcentral describes it as "partial 16S ribosomal RNA". It matches the Rfam family "Bacterial small subunit ribosomal RNA", at positions 28 to 507 of the family's 1533-position model. The record is from RNAcentral.